CCAAAAUUGCGUUAGGGAUUGCAGAGUAAAGCCCACAGCCUUUAGGCGAGGACUUGGAGCGUAAAGCCCGACCGUCC
Molecule: non-coding RNA, 77 nt
Filed under: Bacteroides thetaiotaomicron VPI-5482
Lineage: Bacteria; Pseudomonadati; Bacteroidota; Bacteroidia; Bacteroidales; Bacteroidaceae
Source: RNAcentral